This 253-nucleotide ribosomal RNA is filed under the name uncultured bacterium. Its description in RNAcentral is "partial 16S ribosomal RNA". It matches the Rfam family "Bacterial small subunit ribosomal RNA", at positions 524 to 776 of the family's 1533-position model. The record is from RNAcentral.
GACGUAGGGCGCGAGCGUUGUCCGGAUUUAUUGGGCGUAAAGAGCUCGUAGGCGGCUUGUCGCGUCGAAUGUGAAAUCUCAGGGCUCAACUCUGACAUUGCAUUCGAUACGGGCAGGCUAGAGUUCGGUAGGGGAGACUGGAAUUCCUGGUGUAGCGGUGAAAUGCGCAGAUAUCAGGAGGAACACCUGUGGCGAAGGCGGCCGACUGGGCCGACCCUGACGCUGAGGCGCGAAGGCGUGGGGAGCGAACGGG